AGUCGAGGGGCAGCGGAGGCGAGUGCUUGCACUUGCCAGACGGCGACCGUCGCACGGGUGAGUAACACGUAUGCGACCUGCCCGUAGCAGGGGGAUAAGCGGAAGAAAUUCCGUCUAAUACCGCGUAAUAUCUUUCGGGGGCAUCCCUGAGGGAUUAAAGGAAGUGAUUCCGGCUACGGAUGGGCAUGCGGCGCAUUAGCUAGUCGGCGGGGUAACGGCCCACCGAGGCGACGAUGCGUAGGGGUUCUGAGAGGAAGGUCCCCCACACUGGUACUGAGACACGGACCAGACUCCUACGGGAGGCAGCAGUGAGGAAUAUUGGUCAAUGGGCGAGAGCCUGAACCAGCCAAGUCGCGUGAGGGAAGACGGUCCUAUGGAUUGUAAACCUCUUUUGUCGGGGAGCAAAAAGGCCUCGUGAGGCCACAAGCGAGAGUACCCGAAGAAAAAGCAUCGGCUAACUCCGUGCCAGCAGCCGCGGUAAUACGGAGGAUGCGAGCGUUAUCCGGAUUUAUUGGGUUUAAAGGGUGCGUAGGCGGACUGGAAAGUCAGCGGUAAAAUCGAGAGGCUCAACCUCUUUCCGCCGUUGAAACUGUCGGUCUUGAGUGGGCGAGAAGUAUGCGGAAUGCGUGGUGUAGCGGUGAAAUGCAUAGAUAUCACGCAGAACUCCGAUUGCGAAGGCAGCAUACCGGCGCCCAACUGACGCUGAGGCACGAAAGCGUGGGUAUCGAACAGGAUUAGAUACCCUGGUAGUCCACGCAGUAAACGAUGAAUACUAAUUGUCCG
Molecule: ribosomal RNA, 783 nt
Filed under: uncultured bacterium
Lineage: Bacteria
Description: bacterial SSU rRNA
Rfam family: Bacterial small subunit ribosomal RNA
Source: RNAcentral